CCUACGGGUGGCAGCAGUGAGGAAUCUUGCUCAAUGGGCGCGAGCCUGAACCAGCCAAGCAGCGUGAAGGAUGACUGCCCUACGGGUUGUAAACUUCUUUUUUAAAGGAAUAAAGUGAGGCACGUGUGCCUUCUCGUUUGUACUUUAUCAAUAAGGAUCGGCUAACUCCGCUCCAGCAGCCGCGGUAAUACGGAGGAUCCGAGCGUUAUCCGGAUUUAUUGGGUUUAAAGGGAGCGUAGAUGGGUUGUUAAGUCAGUUGUGAAAGUUUGCGGCUCAACCGUAAAAUUGCAAUGGAUACUGGCAGACUUGAGUACAGAAGAGGUAAGGGGAAUUCGUGGUGUAGCGGUGAAAUGCUUAGAUAUAACGAAGAACACCGAUUGCGAAGGCAGCCCACUGAACUGCCACUGACGUUGAUGUUCGAAAGUGUGGGUAGCAAACAGGAUUAGAUACCCCAGUAGUC
This 460-nucleotide ribosomal RNA is filed under the name uncultured bacterium. RNAcentral describes it as "partial 16S ribosomal RNA". It matches the Rfam family "Bacterial small subunit ribosomal RNA", at positions 338 to 795 of the family's 1533-position model. The record is from RNAcentral.